Molecule: transfer RNA, 63 nt
Filed under: Furcilarnaca wufengensis
Lineage: Eukaryota; Metazoa; Arthropoda; Insecta; Orthoptera; Gryllacrididae
Description: tRNA-Ala
Source: RNAcentral
AGGGCUGUAGUUAACCAUAACAUCUAAUUUGCAUUUAGAAAGUAUUGAAUUCAAUCUGCCUUA